UUGUCUUGACAGUUCGUCUGAGCUUUACAGCACUUUAUAGGUUAAGUUUCAAGAUACACCCAAUAAUGAAACAUAUUUACGCAAUUUAUUAGCGAAAUACCGAUCGAUAUUAUAUGGGAGUACGAAAAUGAACGUGUUAUUGAUACUCUUUUUAAUCUUUAUAGUUGUAUACUUUAUUGUAUCUUGGCUCCUGCCGACAUGGUUGGCAUGGUUAUUCAAG
Manduca sexta (tobacco hornworm) is the source of this 220-nucleotide long non-coding RNA. RefSeq lists it as uncharacterized. NCBI's taxonomy places the organism in Eukaryota, Metazoa, Arthropoda, Insecta, Lepidoptera, Sphingidae. The transcript is spliced from 2 exons. The record is from RefSeq and is a predicted model, not a curated record.